CACGUAGGGGGCAAGCGUUGUCCGGAUUUAUUGGGCGUAAAGAGCUCGUAGGCGGCUCGGUAAGUCGGGUGUCAAAUCCUCAGGCUCAACCUGGGGCACCACCCGAUACUGCUGUGGCUAGAGUCCGGUAGGGGAGCGUGGAAUUCCUGGUGUAGCGGUGAAAUGCGCAGAUAUCAGGAGGAACACCAAUUGCGAAGGCAGCUCGCUGGGACGCUACUGACGCUGAGACGCGAAAGCGUGGGGAGCAAACAGG
This 253-nucleotide ribosomal RNA is filed under the name uncultured bacterium. Its description in RNAcentral is "partial 16S ribosomal RNA". It matches the Rfam family "Bacterial small subunit ribosomal RNA", at positions 524 to 776 of the family's 1533-position model. The record is from RNAcentral.